This 243-nucleotide ribosomal RNA is filed under the name uncultured bacterium. RNAcentral describes it as "partial 16S ribosomal RNA". It matches the Rfam family "Bacterial small subunit ribosomal RNA", at positions 534 to 776 of the family's 1533-position model. The record is from RNAcentral.
GCUAGCGUUGCUCGGAAUCACUGGGCGUAAAGGGUGCGUAGGCGGGUCUUUAAGUCAGGGGUGAAAUCCUGGAGCUCAACUCCAGAACUGCCUUUGAUACUGGCGAUCUCGAGUCCGGGAGAGGUGAGUGGAACUGCGAGUGUAGAGGUGAAAUUCGUAGAUAUUCGCAAGAACACCAGUGGCGAAGGCGGCUCACUGGCCCGGUACUGACGCUGAGGUGCGAAAGCGUGGGGAGCAAACAGG